This 207-nucleotide ribosomal RNA is filed under the name uncultured bacterium. RNAcentral describes it as "partial 16S ribosomal RNA". It matches the Rfam family "Bacterial small subunit ribosomal RNA", at positions 568 to 774 of the family's 1533-position model. The record is from RNAcentral.
CGCGUAGGCGGUCUAAUAAGUCAGUGGUGAAAACUAUGGGCUCAACCCAUAGCCUGCCACUGAUACUGUUAGACUUGAGUAUGGAAGAGGAGAAUGGAAUUCCUAGUGUAGCGGUGAAAUGCGUAGAUAUUAGGAGGAACACCAGUGGCGAAGGCGAUUCUCUGGGCCAAAACUGACGCUGAGGCGCGAAAGCGUGGGGAGCAAACA